Aethalodelphis obliquidens (Pacific white-sided dolphin) is the source of this 141-nucleotide long non-coding RNA. RefSeq lists it as uncharacterized. The record is from RefSeq and is a predicted model, not a curated record. Lineage: Eukaryota; Metazoa; Chordata; Mammalia; Artiodactyla; Delphinidae. The transcript has 3 exons.
UUACAUUUUGUAAAAAAUUCUUAAAAAUGACAUCUGUGUAGGGGCUUCCCUGGGGGCGCAGUGGUUGAGAGUCCGCCUGCCGAUGCAGGGGACACGGGUUCGUGCCCCGGUCCGAGAAGAUCCCACAUGCCGCGGAGCGGC